This 475-nucleotide ribosomal RNA is filed under the name uncultured organism. RNAcentral describes it as "partial 16S ribosomal RNA". It matches the Rfam family "Bacterial small subunit ribosomal RNA", at positions 334 to 800 of the family's 1533-position model. The record is from RNAcentral.
CACUCCUGCGGGAGGCAGCAGUGGGGAAUUUUGGACAAUGGGCGAAAGCCUGAUCCAGCAAUGCCGCGUGAGUGAAGAAGGCCUUCGGGUUGUAAAGCUCUUUUGUCAGGGAAGAAACGGUGAAAGCUAAUAUCUUUUGCUAAUGACGGUACCUGAAGAAUAAGCACCGGCUAACUACGUGCCAGCAGCCGCGGUAAUACGUAGGGUGCAAGCGUUAAUCGGAAUUACUGGGCGUAAAGCGUGCGCAGGCGGUUUUGUAAGUCUGAUGUGAAAUCCCCGGGCUCAACCUGGGAAUUGCAUUGGAGACUGCAAGGCUAGAAUCUGGCAGAGGGGGGUAGAAUUCCACGUGUAGCAGUGAAAUGCGUAGAUAUGUGGAGGAACACCGAUGGCGAAGGCAGCCCCCUGGGUCAAGAUUGACGCUCAUGCACGAAAGCGUGGGGAGCAAACAGGAUUAGAAACCCCAGUAGUCCCAUGA